CGCCCCAUGGUGGAAAUGGUAGACACACUGGACUCAAAAUCCAGCGCCGAAAGGUAUGCCAAUUCGAGUUUGGCUGGGGCGA
Molecule: transfer RNA, 82 nt
Filed under: Caudoviricetes sp.
Lineage: Duplodnaviria; Heunggongvirae; Uroviricota; Caudoviricetes
Description: tRNA-Leu
Rfam family: tRNA
About the family: Transfer RNA (tRNA) molecules are approximately 80 nucleotides in length. Their secondary structure includes four short double-helical elements and three loops (D, anti-codon, and T loops). Further hydrogen bonds mediate the characteristic L-shaped molecular structure. tRNAs have two regions of fundamental functional importance: the anti-codon, which is responsible for specific mRNA codon recognition, and the 3' end, to which the tRNAs corresponding amino acid is attached (by aminoacyl-tRNA synthetases). tRNAs cope with the degeneracy of the genetic code in two manners: having more than one tRNA (with a specific anti-codon) for a particular amino acid; and 'wobble' base-pairing, i.e. permitting non-standard base-pairing at the 3rd anti-codon position.
Source: RNAcentral